GGAGACAGUGGUGCUGCCCAGCUGCAUGUGUCCAGAGGUCACUCUGCUCUCUGCUUGGGGUCAGAAAAGUAGGGAAAAGAAUCGAGUGGACAUGGAGUGCCGGCAUGAGAGCUUUUGCCAAGAUCAAAAUGUUCCCCAUCGCUGUGAGCAGAUGAGAUCUUGGAACCUGGACGCACACAGUCCCAGCUCCAGCAGGGCUUCUGGCAACAACCCCAGUGUCUUCAGCUACAGACACCACCUCUGUGAAUGCCAAGAAAAGCAAACACAGGCCCCAGAUCUCCUGUUGCACCAACUGGAAAGAAGCCCACAGCAGAGGAGCUGAGCUGUGAGGACAAUCUUCCCGUAGCUCUUAAUUUUCCACCAUUCUUCCCCCAUCUGAAUCAAACAAACAAACAACA
RNAcentral lists this long non-coding RNA (398 nucleotides) under Homo sapiens (human). RNAcentral's name for it is "long non-coding RNA NONHSAT247002". The record is from RNAcentral. Lineage: Eukaryota; Metazoa; Chordata; Mammalia; Primates; Hominidae.